This 301-nucleotide ribosomal RNA is filed under the name uncultured bacterium. Its description in RNAcentral is "partial 16S ribosomal RNA". It matches the Rfam family "Bacterial small subunit ribosomal RNA", at positions 509 to 809 of the family's 1533-position model. The record is from RNAcentral.
CAGUAGCCGCGGUAAUACGUAGGGGGCAAGCGUUGUCCGGAAUUAUUGGGCGUAAAGGGCUCGCAGGCGGUUUCUUAAGUCUGAUGUGAAAGCCCCCGGCUCAACCGGGGAGGGUCAUUGGAAACUGGGAAACUUGAGUGCAGAAGAGGAGAGUGGAAUUCCACGUGUAGCGGUGAAAUGCGUAGAGAUGUGGAGGAACACCAGUGGCGAAGGCGACUCUCUGGUCUGUAACUGACGCUGAGGAGCGAAAGCGUGGGGAGCGAACAGGAUUAGAUACCCCCGUAGUCCCUGUCUCUUAUAA